GACGAACGCUGGCGGCGUGCUUAACACAUGCAAGUCGAGCGGUAAGGCCUUUCGCUGUACACGAGCGGCUAACGGGCGGGUGACAGGUUGGUGAUCUGCUCUGCACUUCGUGAUAAGCCGGUGAAAUUGGGUCUACUACGGUAUAUGACCUCCUUUCGCAUGAUGGGUGGGGGCAAUAUUUAGCGGUGCAUGUUCGGCCCGCUGCCUAUCGGCUUGUUGGUGAGUAAAUGGCUUGCCAAGGCAACGACGGCUAGCCGACCUGGGAGUGUGACCGGCCACACUGGGCCUGAGACACGCACCAGACUCGUACGGGAGGCAGCAGUGGGGAAUCUUGCACAAUGGGCGAAAGCCUGAUGCAGCGACGCCGCGUGAGGGAUAACGGCCUUCGGGUUGUAAACAUCUUUCAGCGGGGACGAAGCGCAAGUGACGGUACCUGAAGAAGAAGCCACGGCUAACUACGUG
Molecule: ribosomal RNA, 462 nt
Filed under: uncultured bacterium
Lineage: Bacteria
Description: partial 16S ribosomal RNA
Rfam family: Bacterial small subunit ribosomal RNA
Source: RNAcentral